This 391-nucleotide ribosomal RNA is filed under the name Chrysophyceae sp. Its description in RNAcentral is "partial small subunit ribosomal RNA". It matches the Rfam family "Eukaryotic small subunit ribosomal RNA", at positions 582 to 975 of the family's 1831-position model. Lineage: Eukaryota; Chrysophyceae. The record is from RNAcentral.
AUUCCAGCUCCAAUAGCGUAUACUAAAGUUGUUGCAGUUAAAAAGCUCGUAGUUGAAUUUCUGGUCGUGGCGACCGGUCCGCCCCUCACGGGGUGUGCACCUGGUCUCUACGUCCAUCCUCGGGGAGAGCGCGUCUGGCAUUCAGUUGUCGGGCGCGGGAUCCUCGUCAUUUACUGUGAGCAAAAUAGAGUGUUCAAAGCAGGCUUAGGCCGUUGAAUACAUUAGCAUGGAAUAAUAAGAUAGGACCUUGGUCUAUUUUGUUGGUUUGCAUUCCAAGGUAAUGAUUAAUAGGGACAGUCAGGGGCACUCGUAUUCCGCCGAGAGAGGUGAAAUUCUCAGACCAGGGGAAGACGAACCACUGCGAAAGCAUUUGCCAGGGAUGUUUUCAUUA